AUUGAAACACCAGUUUCCAUACGAUCACCAAAGUUAAGCAACGUCAAGCCUGGUCAGUACUUAGAUGGGUGAUGCUUGGGAAUACCAGGUGCUGUAAG
Molecule: non-coding RNA, 98 nt
Organism: Acanthosepion pharaonis
Lineage: Eukaryota; Metazoa; Mollusca; Cephalopoda; Sepiida; Sepiidae
Source: the annotation of a GenBank genome assembly